This is a long non-coding RNA of Pseudopipra pipra, 221 nucleotides long. RefSeq lists it as uncharacterized. The transcript is spliced from 2 exons. The record is from RefSeq and is a predicted model, not a curated record. NCBI's taxonomy places the organism in Eukaryota, Metazoa, Chordata, Aves, Passeriformes, Pipridae.
AAAAGGCAGAACCCCGGAGAGGGGGCCCCCAAAACACGAGGGACCUCCAAGAGCCUGAACGGGGGGACCCCCAGAACCCCAAAGUGCAGAGAGCAGAGGGAGUGAACUUCGGGGAGGGUUUUUUAGAGCCUUUUCCACGGGCCUCCCUCCCCUGGCUGUGGUCUCCCUGUUUGUCAGCACUCCCAGAGGGUGAAAUCCAGGACUUGGCGAUGCCACGAGGG